AAUAGAUACCCCGGUAGUCCACGCCGUAAACGAUGAGUGCUAGGUGUUGGGGGGUUCCACCCUCAGUGCUGAGGUUAACACAUUAAGCACUCCGCCUGGGGAGUACGACCGCAAGGUUGAAACUCAAAGGAAUUGACGGGGGCCCGCACAAGCAGUGGAGCAUGUGGUUUAAUUCGAAGCAACGCGAAGAACCUUACCAGGUCUUGACAUCCUUUGACCACUCUAGGGAUAGAGCUUUCCCCUUCGGGGGACAAAGUGACAGGUGGUGCAUGGUUGUCGUCAGCUCGUGUCGUGAGAUGUUGGGUUAAGUCCCGCAACGAGCGCAACCCUUGACCUUAGUUGCCAGCAUUCAGUUGGGCACUCUAAGGUGACUGCCGGUGACAAACCGGAGGAAGGUGGGGACGACGUCAAAUCAUCAUGCCCCUUAUGACCUGGGCUACACACGUGCUACAAUGGAUGAUACAAAGGGUUGCGAAGCCGCGAGGCCAAGCCAAUCCCAAAAAGUCAUUCUCAGUUCGGAUUGUAGGCUGCAACUCGCCUA
Molecule: ribosomal RNA, 541 nt
Filed under: uncultured bacterium
Lineage: Bacteria
Description: bacterial SSU rRNA
Rfam family: Bacterial small subunit ribosomal RNA
Source: RNAcentral